UAGGGAAUCUUCCACAAUGGACGAAAGUCUGAUGGAGCAACGCCGCGUGAGUGAAGAAGGGUUUCGGCUCGUAAACUCUGUUGUUAAAGAAGAACAUAUCUGAGAGUAACUGUUCAGGUAUUGACGGUAUUUAACCAGAAAGCCACGGCUAACUACGUGCCUG
This 163-nucleotide ribosomal RNA is filed under the name uncultured bacterium. Its description in RNAcentral is "partial 16S ribosomal RNA". It matches the Rfam family "Bacterial small subunit ribosomal RNA", at positions 355 to 511 of the family's 1533-position model. The record is from RNAcentral.